CUGUGGAACGCUGCCAUCGGGUCACAGACACUGCCUGUAUUUCGUGAUAAUUUCGAACA
Molecule: small RNA, 59 nt
Filed under: Sinorhizobium meliloti 2011
Lineage: Bacteria; Pseudomonadati; Pseudomonadota; Alphaproteobacteria; Hyphomicrobiales; Rhizobiaceae
Description: putative ncRNA
Source: RNAcentral